UACGUAGGGACCGAGCGUUGUCCGGAAUCAUUGGGCGUAAAGAGCGCGUAGGCGGCUAGAUAAGUCCGGUGUGAAAGUCACAGGCUCAACCUGUGAAUGCCGCUGGAAACUGUCUGGCUAGAGUCCGGAAGGGGCGAGUGGAAUUCCUGGUGUAGCGGUGAAAUGCGCAGAUAUCAGGAGGAACACCAAUGGCGAAGGCAGCUCGCUGGGACGGUACUGACGCUGAGGCGCGAAAGCUAGGGGAGCAAACAGG
This 253-nucleotide ribosomal RNA is filed under the name uncultured bacterium. RNAcentral describes it as "partial 16S ribosomal RNA". It matches the Rfam family "Bacterial small subunit ribosomal RNA", at positions 524 to 776 of the family's 1533-position model. The record is from RNAcentral.